CCUACGGGCGGCAGCAGUGAGGAAUAUUGGUCAAUGGACGAGAGCCUGAACCAGCCAAGUAGCGUGAAGGAUGACUGCCCUAUGGGUUGUAAACUUCUUUUAUAAAGGAAUAAAACGCGGCACGUGUGCCGUUUUGCAUGUACCUUAUGAAUAAGGAUCGGCUAACUCCGUGCCAGCAGCCGCGGUAAUACGGAGGAUCCGAGCGUUAUCCGGAUUUAUUGGGUUUAAAGGGAGCGUAGAUGGGUUGUUAAGUCAGUUGUGAAAGUUUGCGGCUCAACCGUAAAAUUGCAGUUGAUACUGGCAGUCUUGAGUACAGUUGAGGUAGGCGGAAUUCGUGGUGUAGCGGUGAAAUGCUUAGAUAUCACGAAGAACCCCGAUUGCGAAGGCAGCUUACGAGACUGUAACUGACGCUGAUGCUCGAAAGUGUGGGCAUCAAACAGGAUUAGAUACCCUAGUAGUC
RNAcentral lists this ribosomal RNA (460 nucleotides) under uncultured bacterium. RNAcentral describes it as "partial 16S ribosomal RNA". It matches the Rfam family "Bacterial small subunit ribosomal RNA", at positions 338 to 795 of the family's 1533-position model. The record is from RNAcentral.